This 253-nucleotide ribosomal RNA is filed under the name uncultured bacterium. RNAcentral's name for it is "partial 16S ribosomal RNA". It matches the Rfam family "Bacterial small subunit ribosomal RNA", at positions 524 to 776 of the family's 1533-position model. The record is from RNAcentral.
UACAGAGGGGGCAAGCGUUAUUCGGAAUUAUUGGGCGUAAAGGGCGCGUAGGCGGCCUGGCAAGUGGAAGGUGAAAUCCCUCGGCUUAACCGAGGAACUGCCCUCCAAACUGCUUGGCUUGAGUCCGGGAGAGGUGAGUGGAAUUCCCAGUGUAGCGGUGAAAUGCGUAGAUAUCAAGAGGAACACCUGCGGCGAAGGCGGGUUGCUGGGCUGACACUGACGCUGAGGCGCGAAAGCUAGGGGAGCGAACGGG